This is a long non-coding RNA of Suricata suricatta (meerkat), 568 nucleotides long. RefSeq lists it as uncharacterized. The transcript is spliced from 7 exons. The record is from RefSeq and is a predicted model, not a curated record. Lineage: Eukaryota; Metazoa; Chordata; Mammalia; Carnivora; Herpestidae.
UACAAAGAAAGUCAUUUGGAGCUCCUCUUGGUCAUCAGAUCUGCUGUGAACUUCUAGGAGCUUCAUGGAAAAGUCCAUUCGCAAAGGACAGCAUUUCCUAGAUAACGCUCAUUGAACAUCCAAGGUCAACGUCUGAAGCAUCUCUGCCUCUUCCCUGGGGGAGUACCAGGUACCAAAGAGUUUACAAGGGGCUCUCAUCACAGAUUCUUGCUGCUCACUCACGUGGGCCCAUUCCCCUCGUGACCCUGAUGGCCCACGGAUGUACACUCACCUGUCAGCAGUACUCUUCACAGCCAUUUUGUAAAAUUGGAGCAUUGUCCAAAAAAAAUAAAUGAAAUUCAGGGACCUGGGAAAACCAAAACUUGACAUGAUCCAUCCAGAGUUCUGAAAAAUGUCAUAAGGGAAGUGUGAUGGGAGUAACGGAAAGAAUGCUUGUUACAAUUGCAGCAGAAGCAGCACCAAGGUAACCUUCAGAUAAAUCUGAUAUUGUGAAGAUGGGCAGAUAGACUCUUUGCUGCUACCCUUUACGAGAGACGCAAUCAGAAGCCAAUUCUGUAAAUCUUGCAGU